AGUGCCUCCGGGUCCACCGCACGGGACGCCACCAGGUAGUCCCGCAUGACCAUGGAGUGCCGGGCCUC
RNAcentral lists this small RNA (68 nucleotides) under Streptomyces sp. MMG1533. RNAcentral describes it as "ASdes TB sRNA". It matches the Rfam family "ASdes TB sRNA". The record is from Rfam by way of RNAcentral. Lineage: Bacteria; Bacillati; Actinomycetota; Actinomycetes; Kitasatosporales; Streptomycetaceae.